Molecule: ribosomal RNA, 495 nt
Filed under: uncultured bacterium
Lineage: Bacteria
Description: bacterial SSU rRNA
Rfam family: Bacterial small subunit ribosomal RNA
Source: RNAcentral
GAUGAACGCUGGCGGCGUGCCUAACACAUGCAAGUCGAACGGAGUUAUUAUCAUGAAGUCUUCGGAUGGAUUGAUAAUAGCUUAGUGGCGGACGGGUGAGUAACGCGUGGGUAACCUACCUCAUACUGGGGGAUAACAGCUGGAAACGGCUGCUAAAACCGCAUAAGAUCGUAGUGCCGCAUGGCAUAGCGAUUAAAUAUUUCAUAGGUAUGAGAUGGGCCCGCGUCUGAUUAGCUAGUUGGUGAGGUAAAGGCUCACCAAGGCGACGAUCAGUAGCCGAACUGAGAGGUUGAUCGGCCACAUUGGGACUGAGACACGGCCCAGACUCCUACGGGAGGCAGCAGUGGGGAAUAUUGCACAAUGGGGGAAACCCUGAUGCAGCGACGCCGCGUGAAGGAAGAAGGCCCUCGGGUUGUAAACUUCUUUGACCAGGGACGAAGAAAGUGACGGUACCUGGAGAACAAGCCACGGCUAACUACGUGCCAGCAGACCCGG